Molecule: ribosomal RNA, 548 nt
Filed under: uncultured bacterium
Lineage: Bacteria
Description: bacterial SSU rRNA
Rfam family: Bacterial small subunit ribosomal RNA
Source: RNAcentral
UAGGGAAUCUUCGGCAAUGGGGGCAACCCUGACCGAGCAACGCCGCGUGAGUGAAGAAGGUUUUCGGAUCGUAAAGCUCUGUUGUAAGUCAAGAACGAGUGUGAGAGUGGAAAGUUCACACUGUGACGGUAGCUUACCAGAAAGGGACGGCUAACUACGUGCCAGCAGCCGCGGUAAUACGUAGGUCCCGAGCGUUGUCCGGAUUUAUUGGGCGUAAAGCGAGCGCAGGCGGUUUGAUAAGUCUGAAGUUAAAGGCUGUGGCUCAACCAUAGUUCGCUUUGGAAACUGUCAAACUUGAGUGCAGAAGGGGAGAGUGGAAUUCCAUGUGUAGCGGUGAAAUGCGUAGAUAUAUGGAGGAACACCGGUGGCGAAAGCGGCUCUCUGGUCUGUAACUGACGCUGAGGCUCGAAAGCGUGGGGAGCGAACAGGAUUAGAUACCCUGGUAGUCCACGCCGUNNCGAUGAGUGUUAGGUGUUGGAUCCUUUCCGGGAUUCAGUGCCGCAGCUAANGCANUAANCACUCCGCCUGGGGAGUACNACCGCAAGGUU